UACAGAGGGUGCAAGCGUUGUUCGGAAUUACUGGGCGUAAAGCGCGCGUAGGCGGGAUGGCAAGUCGGGUGUGAAAGCCCUCGGCUCAACCGAGGAAGUGCACUCGAAACUGCCAUUCUUGAGUGUCGGAGAGGGUGGCGGAAUUCCCGGUGUAGAGGUGAAAUUCGUAGAUAUCGGGAGGAACACCAGUGGCGAAGGCGGCCACCUGGCCGAGCACUGACGCUCAGGCGCGAAAGCGUGGGGAGCAAACAGG
RNAcentral lists this ribosomal RNA (253 nucleotides) under uncultured bacterium. RNAcentral describes it as "partial 16S ribosomal RNA". It matches the Rfam family "Bacterial small subunit ribosomal RNA", at positions 524 to 776 of the family's 1533-position model. The record is from RNAcentral.